GGCGGACGGGUGAGUAAUGCUUAGGAAUCUGCCUAUUAGUGGGGGACAACAUUCCGAAAGGAAUGCUAAUACCGCAUACGCCCUACGGGGGAAAGCAGGGGAUCUUCGGACCUUGCGCUAAUAGAUGAGCCCUAAGUCAGAUUAGCUAGUUGGUGGGGUAAAGGCCUACCAAGGCGACGAUCUGUAGCGGGUCUGACAGGAUGAUCCGCCACACUGGGACUGAGACACGGCCCAGACUCCUACGGGAGGCAGCAGUGGGGAAUAUUGGACAAUGGGCGAAAGCCUGAUCCAGCCAUGCCGCGUGUGUGAAGAAGGCCUUUUGGUUGUAAAGCACUUUAAGCGAGGAGGAGGCUACUUAGAUUAAUACUCUAGGAUAGUGGACGUUACUCGCAGAAUAAGCACCGGCUAACUCUGUGCCAGCAGCCGCGGUAAU
This 433-nucleotide ribosomal RNA is filed under the name uncultured bacterium. RNAcentral describes it as "bacterial SSU rRNA". It matches the Rfam family "Bacterial small subunit ribosomal RNA", at positions 97 to 524 of the family's 1533-position model. The record is from RNAcentral.